CGGAGGAUCCAAGCGUUAUCCGGAUUUAUUGGGUUUAAAGGGUGCGUAGGCGGCCUGUUAAGUCAGGGGUGAAAGACGGUAGCUCAACUAUCGCAGUGCCCUUGAUACUGAUGGGCUUGAAUGGACUAGAGGUAGGCGGAAUGAGACAAGUAGCGGUGAAAUGCAUAGAUAUGUCUCAGAACACCGAUUGCGAAGGCAGCUUACUAUGGUCUUAUUGACGCUGAGGCACGAAAGCGUGGGGAUCAAACAGGAUUAGAUACCCUGGUAGUCCACGCCCUAAACGAUGAACACUCGCUGUUGGCGAUACACAGUCAGCGGCUAAGCGAAAGCGUUAAGUGUUCCACCUGGGGAGUACGCCCGCAAGGGUG
RNAcentral lists this ribosomal RNA (368 nucleotides) under uncultured organism. RNAcentral describes it as "bacterial SSU rRNA". It matches the Rfam family "Bacterial small subunit ribosomal RNA", at positions 526 to 896 of the family's 1533-position model. The record is from RNAcentral.